CACUUAGAGGAAGGAGAAGUCGUAACAAGGUUUCCGUAGGUGAACCUGCGGAGGGAUCAUUCGCACCGAUCUACCUAUUACAUGUGAACCACUACGGUGAGGUGAGGGACUGUUCGCGACUUGCACCAGUGGUGAGAUGCGCGUUCAGGAACUCGAGGGCUGCAGUGGCAUAUUCGAUUGCGCCUGUGGCGUUUGCUAUCGGGUAUCGCCCUGUUGCCAUGGGGUCCGUUCGCGGGCCGUUGCUUGUGCGUUGUUGUUUUGUGAAGGCCUUAGACUGAUGAUCCAAUCUGUUAGUCACAACUUUCAGCGACGGAUAUCUCGGCUCAGGCACCUAUGAAGGGCGCAGCGAAGCGCGAUAGUUUUUGUGAAUUGCAGAUCUCCGUGAACCAAUAGCCCCCUGAACGCGCAUUGCACUCUUGGGACUUCCUGAGAGUAUGUUUGCUUCAGUGCUUGUUUUACCUCUUUGCAAGGUUCUGUCGCAACCUUGUGCCCUGGCCAGCCAUGGGUUAACUUGCCCAUGGCUUGCUGAGUAGUGAUCUUUUAGAGCAAGCUCUGGCACGCUGUUGUUUGAGGCAGCCUAUAUUGAGGCUAUUUCAAAUGACGUUGCUACAAGCUUGAUGUGUCCUUCUGCACCGUUGCGCAUCCCA
RNAcentral lists this ribosomal RNA (647 nucleotides) under uncultured Symbiodinium. Its description in RNAcentral is "eukaryotic LSU rRNA". The stretch from base 299 to 452 matches the Rfam family "5.8S ribosomal RNA". The record is from RNAcentral. Lineage: Eukaryota; Dinophyceae; Suessiales; Symbiodiniaceae.